This 493-nucleotide ribosomal RNA is filed under the name uncultured bacterium. RNAcentral describes it as "partial 16S ribosomal RNA". It matches the Rfam family "Bacterial small subunit ribosomal RNA", at positions 28 to 507 of the family's 1533-position model. The record is from RNAcentral.
GAUGAACGCUGGCGGCGUGCCUAACACAUGCAAGUUGAGCGACGAACCAGGUCUUGCCCUGGGGCUAAUCAGCGAACGGGUGAGUAACACGUGGGUAACCUACCCCUAUAACCGGGACAACCCUAGGAAACUCGGGCUAGUACUGAUUCUCCUCACUGUACUGCGGUUCCGUGCGUUAAUUAUGCUUCGUCCUCCGUAUCGGGAGGGGCCUGCGGCCGAUUAGUUUGUUGGUGGGGUAACGGCUCACCAAGACCUCGAUACGUAGCUGGUCUGAGAGGACGAUCAGCCAAACUGGGCGUGAACCACGGCCCAGACCCCAACGGGAGGCAGCAGAGGAGAAUCUUGCACAAUGCGAGAAAGCGUGACCCAGCCACGCCGCGUCGGGGAAGAAGGCAUUGGGGUCGGAAACGCAUUCUACGAGGGACGAAGGCGCGGCGGUGAAUAGCCGACCGGGCUGACGGUACCUCAACAAGAAGCCCCGGCUAACUCCGUG